Molecule: ribosomal RNA, 366 nt
Filed under: uncultured Desulfobulbus sp.
Lineage: Bacteria; Pseudomonadati; Thermodesulfobacteriota; Desulfobulbia; Desulfobulbales; Desulfobulbaceae
Description: bacterial SSU rRNA
Rfam family: Bacterial small subunit ribosomal RNA
Source: RNAcentral
UCUGGAAGAAGUCUGGAGACAGGUGCUGCAUGGCUGUCGUCAGCUCGUGUCGUGAGAUGUUGGGUUAAGUCCCGCAACGAGCGCAACCCUUGCCUUUAGUUGCCAGCAGUUCGGCUGGGCACUCUAAAGGGACUGCCGGUGUUAAACCGGAGGAAGGUGGGGAUGACGUCAAGUCCUCAUGGCCUUUAUGACCAGGGCUACACACGUACUACAAUGGCCGAUACAAAGGGCAGCGACACUGCGAGGUGAAGCCAAUCCCGUAAAAUCGGUCUCAGUCCGGAUUGGAGUCUGCAACUCGACUCCAUGAAGUUGGAAUCGCUAGUAAUCGUGGAUCAGCAUGCCACGGUGAAUACGUUCCCGGGCCUU